CGUUCCUCCGGGGUUUAAUAGGUUUCUUCGUCAACGAAAGCUCUGUGGCGCCCGCCCGAUUACGACCGCUACGUCUUGUAAGGGAUAGCAAGUGAAUCACCGUGCGGCAGGCGACACCGGGCGGCCAGCGUUUACAGCAUUCCUUAAGUUCUCACGGUAUCCGAGCCGCUCAGUGCGGGUGUACAACAAGUAAUUGCCCCAGUUCGGGAGUAAGUUGGCCGGUUUGAACUCCAAAGCCGUGGAUGGGGCCCCCAUAUGACGGUGAGCAUUUGGUUUAAAUGAACGGAACGCGAAAACGUUACGUGCUUGGACAUUCGCACGACCGGUGGUGAAAGCCAUCCUCCUUUCGGGCCUGUGCACAGGUGCUGCAUGGCUGUCGUCAGCUCGUGUCUCGAGAUGUUGGGUUAAGUCCCGCAACGAGCGCAACCCUUGCCCUCUGUUGCUACCGGGUUAUGCCGGGCACUUUGAGGGGACUGCCCCGGUGAACGGGGAGGAAGGUGGGGAUGACGUCAAGUCCUCAUGGCCUUUAUGUCCAGGGCUACACACGUGCUACAAUGGUCAGGACAAUGGGUCGCUCCCUCGUAAGAGGUUGCCAAUCUCAAAAACCUGGCCCUAGUUCGGAUGGUUGGCUGCAACUCGCCCAGCCUGAAGCUGGAAUCGCUAGUAAUCGGAGAUCAGCACGCUCCGGUGAAUACGUUCCCGGGCCUUGUACACACCGCCCGUCACACCACGAAAGCCGUGUGUACCAGAAGUCGCUGGACCAACCCCUUUUGGGGAGGUAGGCGCCUAAGGUAUGCGGGGUAAUUGGGGCGAAGUCGUAACAAGGUAAAUCGAAUUCCCGCGGCC
Molecule: ribosomal RNA, 846 nt
Filed under: uncultured bacterium
Lineage: Bacteria
Description: bacterial SSU rRNA
Rfam family: Bacterial small subunit ribosomal RNA (bases 208-833)
Source: RNAcentral